CCUACGGGUGGCAGCAGUGAGGAAUAUUGGUCAAUGGGCUUACGCCUGAACCAGCCAAGUCGCGUGAGGGAAGACUGCUCUAUGGGUUGUAACCCUCUUUUGUCAGGGAGCAACGCCGGCUAUGUGUCGCCGGACUGCGAGUUCCUGCAGAAAAAGCAUCGGCUAACUCCGUGCCAGCAGCCGCGGUAAUACGGAGGAUGCGAGCGUUAUCGGGAUUUAUUGGGUUUAAAAGGUGCGUAGGCGGAAUGCCAAGUCAGCGGUAAAAUCGCGGGGCUCACUAUCGCUCCGCCGUUGAAACUGGCAUUCUAGAGUAGGCGAGAAGUAUGCGGAAUGCGUGGUGUAGCGGUGAAAUGCGUAGAGAUCACGCAGAA
RNAcentral lists this ribosomal RNA (371 nucleotides) under uncultured bacterium. Its description in RNAcentral is "partial 16S ribosomal RNA". It matches the Rfam family "Bacterial small subunit ribosomal RNA", at positions 338 to 706 of the family's 1533-position model. The record is from RNAcentral.